RNAcentral lists this ribosomal RNA (492 nucleotides) under uncultured bacterium. Its description in RNAcentral is "partial 16S ribosomal RNA". It matches the Rfam family "Bacterial small subunit ribosomal RNA", at positions 29 to 507 of the family's 1533-position model. The record is from RNAcentral.
AGUGAACGCUGGCGGUAGGCCUAACACAUGCAAGUCGAACGGCAGCGCAGUAAGAGCUUGCUCUUACGGGUGGCGAGUGGCGGACGGGUGAGGAAUACAUCGGAAUCUACUUUUUCGUGGGGGAUAACGUAGGGAAACUUACGCUAAUACCGCAUACGACCUACGGGUGAAAGCAGGGGAUCUUCGGACCUUGCGCGAUUGAAUGAGCCGAUGUCGGAUUAGCUAGUUGGCGGGGUAAAGGCCCACCAAGGCGACGAUCCGUAGCUGGUCUGAGAGGGUGAUCAGCCACACUGGAACUGAGACACGGUCCAGACUCCUACGGGAGGCAGCAGUGGGGAAUAUUGGACAAUGGGCGCAAGCCUGAUCCAGCCAUACCGCGUGGGUGAAGAAGGCCUUCGGGUUGUAAAGCCCUUUUGUUGGGAAAGAAAAGCAGCAGGUUAAUACCCCGCUGUUCUGACGGUACCCAAAGAAUAAGCACCGGCUAACUUCGUG